This 273-nucleotide ribosomal RNA is filed under the name uncultured bacterium. RNAcentral describes it as "partial 16S ribosomal RNA". It matches the Rfam family "Bacterial small subunit ribosomal RNA", at positions 524 to 794 of the family's 1533-position model. The record is from RNAcentral.
UACGGAGGGUGCGAGCGUUAAUCGGAAUUACUGGGCGUAAAGCGCAUGCAGGUGGUCUGUUAAGUCAGAUGUGAAAGCCCCCGGGCUUAACCCGGGAAUAGCAUUUGAAACUGUCAGGCUAGAGUACUGUAGAGGGGGUAGGAAUUUCAGGUGUAGCGGUGUAAUGCGUAGAGAUCUGAAGGAAUACCGGUGGCGAAGGCGGCCCCCUCGGACAGAUACUGACACUCAGAUGCGAAAGCGUGGGGAGCAAACAGGAUUAGAUACCCGGGUAGU